This 253-nucleotide ribosomal RNA is filed under the name uncultured bacterium. Its description in RNAcentral is "partial 16S ribosomal RNA". It matches the Rfam family "Bacterial small subunit ribosomal RNA", at positions 524 to 776 of the family's 1533-position model. The record is from RNAcentral.
UACGGAGGGGGCUAGCGUUGUUCGGAAUUACUGGGCGUAAAGCGCACGUAGGCGGAUGUUCAAGUCGGGGGUGAAAUCCCGGGGCUCAACCCCGGAACUGCCUUCGAUACUGGACGUCUGGAGGUCGGGAGAGGUGAGUGGAAUUCCGAGUGUAGAGGUGAAAUUCGUAGAUAUUCGGAGGAACACCGGUGGCGAAGGCGGCUCACUGGCCCGAUUCUGACGCUGAGGUGCGAAAGAGUGGGGAGCAAACAGG